GCUCGGCUAGCUCAGUCGGUAGAGCAUUUGACUUUUUUUAAAUCUCAGAGUCAUGAGUUCAAGCCCCAUGUCGAGCU
This 77-nucleotide transfer RNA is filed under the name Felis catus (domestic cat). It matches the Rfam family "tRNA". Rfam says of the family: Transfer RNA (tRNA) molecules are approximately 80 nucleotides in length. Their secondary structure includes four short double-helical elements and three loops (D, anti-codon, and T loops). Further hydrogen bonds mediate the characteristic L-shaped molecular structure. tRNAs have two regions of fundamental functional importance: the anti-codon, which is responsible for specific mRNA codon recognition, and the 3' end, to which the tRNAs corresponding amino acid is attached (by aminoacyl-tRNA synthetases). tRNAs cope with the degeneracy of the genetic code in two manners: having more than one tRNA (with a specific anti-codon) for a particular amino acid; and 'wobble' base-pairing, i.e. permitting non-standard base-pairing at the 3rd anti-codon position. Lineage: Eukaryota; Metazoa; Chordata; Mammalia; Carnivora; Felidae. The record is from Rfam by way of RNAcentral.